RNAcentral lists this unclassified non-coding RNA (252 nucleotides) under fungal sp. RNAcentral describes it as "partial internal transcribed spacer region". The stretch from base 1 to 45 matches the Rfam family "Eukaryotic small subunit ribosomal RNA", at positions 1787 to 1831 of the family's 1831-position model. The record is from RNAcentral. Lineage: Eukaryota; Fungi.
AGUCGUAACAAGGUAACCGUAGGUGAACCUGCGGUUGGAUCAUUAAAUAAUGAUUGAUGGGUCAGGAAUCCUUCAAGCCUUGGUUUGUCAAGGACUGACUCAUCACUAACCCCUGUGCAACUGUCUAGUAUUUUGGGUACUGCAGUCAUACUGCAAUACCCGAGCUUAUAAUAACACCAAUUGAAACUUGUCUUGUUUAAUUUAUUAAUAAUAAUGUAAAAACAACUUUUGACAACGGAUCUCUUGGCUCUC